UCUUGGCUAAGGGCAUGAGUUUCCCGAAAUAACUGUUGAGUCCCUUAAAGAGCAAAUUCCUCGUUCUACACCACACUCCCCUCUCACUACUGCGCUUGACUAGAAUAAA
RNAcentral lists this non-coding RNA (109 nucleotides) under Mus caroli (Ryukyu mouse). Lineage: Eukaryota; Metazoa; Chordata; Mammalia; Rodentia; Muridae. The record is from RNAcentral.